RNAcentral lists this ribosomal RNA (769 nucleotides) under uncultured bacterium. Its description in RNAcentral is "bacterial SSU rRNA". It matches the Rfam family "Bacterial small subunit ribosomal RNA", at positions 77 to 823 of the family's 1533-position model. The record is from RNAcentral.
UAGCAAUAUUGGGUGGUGGGAGCGGCGCAAGGGUGCGUAACACGUGGGUAAUCUGCCAUGAAGUUUGGGAUAACUUGCUGAAAGGCGAGCUAAUACCGGAUGUGACCCCUGGGGAGCAAUCUUUGGGGGUUAAAGUUGGGGACCGCAAGGCCUGACGCUUCAUGAUGAGCCCGCGGCCUAUCAGCUAGUUGGCGGGGUAACGGCCCACCAAGGCAAAGACGGGUAGCUGGUCUGAGAGGACGACCAGCCACACUGGAACUGAGACACGGUCCAGACACCUACGGGUGGCAGCAGUCGAGAAUUUUUCACAAUGGGCGCAAGCCUGAUGGAGCGACGCCGCGUGGGGGAUGAAUGGCUUCGGCCCGUAAACCCCUGUCAUUCGCGAUCAAGGCGCAUUAUUUAAAAGAUGGUGCGUUGAUAGUAGCGGAAGAGGAAGGGACGGCUAACUCUGUGCCAGCAGCCGCGGUAAUACAGAGGUCCCGAGCGUUGUUCGGAUUCACUGGGCGUAAAGGGUGCGUAGGUGGUGAGGCAAGUCGGAUGUGAAAGCUCGGAGCUCAACUCCGAAAUGGCAUUGGAAACUGCCUUGCUUGAGGUUUGGAGGGGGGACUGGAAUGCUUGGUGUAGCAGUGAAAUGCGUAGAUAUCAAGCGGAACACCAGUGGCGAAGGCGAGUCCCUGGACAACACCUGACACUGAGGCACGAAAGCUAGGGGAGCAAACAGGAUUAGAUACCCUGGUAGUCCUAGCCGUAAACGGUGCACGUUUGCUGU